Molecule: ribosomal RNA, 482 nt
Filed under: uncultured bacterium
Lineage: Bacteria
Description: partial 16S ribosomal RNA
Rfam family: Bacterial small subunit ribosomal RNA
Source: RNAcentral
AUUGAACGCUGGCGGCAUGCCUUACACAUGCAAGUCGAACGGUAACAGGUCUUCGGAUGCUGACGAGUGGCGAACGGGUGAGUAAUACAUCGGAACGUGCCCAGACGUUGGGGAUAACGAGGCGAAAGCUUUGCUAAUACCGCAUACGAUCUAAGGAUGAAAGCAGGGGACCGCAAGGCCUUGCGCGUUUGGAGCGGCCGAUGGCAGAUUAGGUAGUUGGUGGGAUAAAAGCUUACCAAGCCGACGAUCUGUAGCUGGUCUGAGAGGACGACCAGCCACACUGGGACUGAGACACGGCCCAGACUCCUACGGGAGGCAGCAGUGGGGAAUUUUGGACAAUGGGCGAAAGCCUGAUCCAGCAAUGCCGCGUGCAGGAUGAAGGCCUUCGGGUUGUAAACUGCUUUUGUACGGAACGAAAAGGCUCUGGCUAAUACCUGGGGCACAUGACGGUACCGUAAGAAUAAGCACCGGCUAACUACGUG